UCUAAUCAAACUAUUGUCUCAGUCACAGGGGACUGCUACUUGAUGAUUCCAGAGGUGUAGCGGAGGAUCUAAACGAGACAUUGUGUGUUCAAGACAAGUUUACUGGACUAACUGUAAGUACAGAUAAGAUAAACAGAGUUCAAGGGGGAGAUGAUUCACUUCAAGCGCACUCUGUUUCUCCUAGUCUAAGGUCGCAUAUUCCGAGAAUUAUCACAGGUCCAAGGCAAAUAUUACUAAUCGAUCCAUGAGGAGAAGGUGCAAAAUGGGCGGACAAGAGAUCUACUCACCACUCGACAGGUGAUGUAAAGACGAUAAGUUUUGGUGCAGCAUCAUUCUCUGGGAUUGAUUCAUCCUACAUAUGAGUUUUGGUUGGAUGAUGGGAACGUUCCCCUGCGUCUAGCUCAUCUUUUUAUGAGGUGGGAGAGGACAAGGAACUUUCAGGAGUGGCAAGUGUGGAAAUGAAGAAGCUUUUCCCAUGAAAGAAGAUAGCAAAAGUGACUGAGACUAACAGCAAAUCAAGAAAGAAGUGCGAUGGAGAUGAAGAGGUUGGUGUGGAAAGUAGAAGGUGAAAGACUGAUGGAGAUAUGAAAAGAGAGGGAGAGAAAUGAAUCGAAGAAAGCUGGAGAUGGAGGGAGCUUUACCCCCAUGGAGAUUAGGACAGUGUUGAUCCGCUUGGAGCAUGAGCAUCCACCUUCUCACUCCCACAUACACAAAUUUGAUGCCUGAGGCCCAAGCAAAGC
Long non-coding RNA from Brassica oleracea var. oleracea, 740 nucleotides. RefSeq lists it as uncharacterized. The record is from RefSeq and is a predicted model, not a curated record. NCBI's taxonomy places the organism in Eukaryota, Viridiplantae, Streptophyta, Magnoliopsida, Brassicales, Brassicaceae. The transcript is spliced from 4 exons.